RNAcentral lists this ribosomal RNA (253 nucleotides) under uncultured bacterium. RNAcentral's name for it is "partial 16S ribosomal RNA". It matches the Rfam family "Bacterial small subunit ribosomal RNA", at positions 524 to 776 of the family's 1533-position model. The record is from RNAcentral.
UUCAGAGGUCUCAAGCGUUGUUCGGAUUCAUUGGGCGUAAAGGGCUCGUAGGCGGCCAACUAAGUCGGAUGUGAAAUCCCCAGGCUCAACCUGGGAACUGCAUCCGAUACUGGAUGGCUUGAAUUCGGGAGAGGGAUGCAGAAUUCCAGGUGUAGCGGUGAAAUGCGUAGAUAUCUGGAGGAAUACCGGUGGCGAAGGCGGCAUCCUGGACCGACAUUGACGCUGAGGAGCGAAAGCCAGGGGAGCAAACGGG